This is a long non-coding RNA of Helianthus annuus (common sunflower), 719 nucleotides long. RefSeq lists it as uncharacterized. NCBI's taxonomy places the organism in Eukaryota, Viridiplantae, Streptophyta, Magnoliopsida, Asterales, Asteraceae. The transcript is spliced from 2 exons. The record is from RefSeq and is a predicted model, not a curated record.
AAACUGCGCCGCCAUCCCCUUCUGAAUACAAAACCCUAAUCUACUAAAAACAAAGUCUCGCCCCUGAGGGGUCGGAAAAUUGUUGUGGACUACACGCUGAACUCUAGCCAAGAACCGAACUGCCUCCGGCGCCAAGGAGCCGAACGUGUCAAACGCCAGGGGGACAAAGGCAUGUUGAUUAUCCUCACAAGCUUUCGCGUGCUUUUCCACCUUCUUUGACUCUGCUUUCAGUACCGCUUACCCCGCCACAAACCCAUUUUCCCGGAACCCGCCACAAGCAUGUUUCCCGCCCUCCCAACCAAAAGCUAGCACGUCUGCCGGGCGUAGGGUUGACCUCCCUUCCGCCGGGUCUGUAAGAAAAUUAACCGGUGCCUCUUUCUUUGCCGAGAUCCCUGCUCGUCUGAGAAUAUCCAUUAACGUGUCUCGAACAAAGUCAUGGUGAUACUUAAACCCCGGCAAUUCAUUUUAUGGCGGUGGAUUAUGACACAUGAUACAACAUGGUUUACAAGCACUAAACGGUUUUAUGGUGUUCAGAUGGUAGUGCUAAAAAGGUGAAUGGCCUCUGGUAGCGGAUUGGAUUGCAUGUGACCGACCAAAUCACUAGAUAAUGUUGAAUGUUGUGCAUCUGUGUAAGCUACAUCGCCAGUGAAUAUCAUCAAUAAUUGAUUGUUGUAUAGUGUAUAAUUGAGUUUACAUAAAAGUUUUACUUCUUUUGUGUU